RNAcentral lists this ribosomal RNA (2901 nucleotides) under Escherichia coli. RNAcentral's name for it is "bacterial LSU rRNA". It matches the Rfam family "Bacterial large subunit ribosomal RNA". Lineage: Bacteria; Pseudomonadati; Pseudomonadota; Gammaproteobacteria; Enterobacterales; Enterobacteriaceae. The record is from RNAcentral.
UUAAGCGACUAAGCGUACACGGUGGAUGCCCUGGCAGUCAGAGGCGAUGAAGGACGUGCUAAUCUGCGAUAAGCGUCGGUAAGGUGAUAUGAACCGUUAUAACCGGCGAUUUCCGAAUGGGGAAACCCAGUGUGUUUCGACACACUAUCAUUAACUGAAUCCAUAGGUUAAUGAGGCGAACCGGGGGAACUGAAACAUCUAAGUACCCGAGGAAAAGAAAUCAACCGAGAUUCCCCCAGUAGCGGCGAGCGAACGGGGAGCAGCCCAGAGCCUGAAUCAGUGUGUGUGUUAGUGGAAGCGUCUGGAAAGGCGCGCGAUACAGGGUGACAGCCCCGUACACAAAAAUGCACAUGCUGUGAGCUCGAUGAGUAGGGCGGGACACGUGGUAUCCUGUCUGAAUAUGGGGGGGACCAUCCUCCAAGGCUAAAUACUCCUGACUGACCGAUAGUGAACCAGUACCGUGAGGGAAAGGCGAAAAGAACCCCGGCGAGGGGAGUGAAAAAGAACCUGAAACCGUGUACGUACAAGCAGUGGGAGCCUCUUUUAUGGGGUGACUGCGUACCUUUUGUAUAAUGGGUCAGCGACUUAUAUUCUGUAGCAAGGUUAACCGAAUAGGGGAGCCGAAGGGAAACCGAGUCUUAACUGGGCGUUAAGUUGCAGGGUAUAGACCCGAAACCCGGUGAUCUAGCCAUGGGCAGGUUGAAGGUUGGGUAACACUAACUGGAGGACCGAACCGACUAAUGUUGAAAAAUUAGCGGAUGACUUGUGGCUGGGGGUGAAAGGCCAAUCAAACCGGGAGAUAGCUGGUUCUCCCCGAAAGCUAUUUAGGUAGCGCCUCGUGAAUUCAUCUCCGGGGGUAGAGCACUGUUUCGGCAAGGGGGUCAUCCCGACUUACCAACCCGAUGCAAACUGCGAAUACCGGAGAAUGUUAUCACGGGAGACACACGGCGGGUGCUAACGUCCGUCGUGAAGAGGGAAACAACCCAGACCGCCAGCUAAGGUCCCAAAGUCAUGGUUAAGUGGGAAACGAUGUGGGAAGGCCCAGACAGCCAGGAUGUUGGCUUAGAAGCAGCCAUCAUUUAAAGAAAGCGUAAUAGCUCACUGGUCGAGUCGGCCUGCGCGGAAGAUGUAACGGGGCUAAACCAUGCACCGAAGCUGCGGCAGCGACGCUUAUGCGUUGUUGGGUAGGGGAGCGUUCUGUAAGCCUGUGAAGGUGUGCUGUGAGGCAUGCUGGAGGUAUCAGAAGUGCGAAUGCUGACAUAAGUAACGAUAAAGCGGGUGAAAAGCCCGCUCGCCGGAAGACCAAGGGUUCCUGUCCAACGUUAAUCGGGGCAGGGUGAGUCGACCCCUAAGGCGAGGCCGAAAGGCGUAGUCGAUGGGAAACAGGUUAAUAUUCCUGUACUUGGUGUUACUGCGAAGGGGGACGGAGAAGGCUAUGUUGGCCGGGCGACGGUUGUCCCGGUUUAAGCGUGUAGGCUGGUUUUCCAGGCAAAUCCGGAAAAUCAAGGCUGAGGCGUGAUGACGAGGCACUACGGUGCUGAAGCAACAAAUGCCCUGCUUCCAGGAAAAGCCUCUAAGCAUCAGGUAACAUCAAAUCGUACCCCAAACCGACACAGGUGGUCAGGUAGAGAAUACCAAGGCGCUUGAGAGAACUCGGGUGAAGGAACUAGGCAAAAUGGUGCCGUAACUUCGGGAGAAGGCACGCUGAUAUGUAGGUGAAGUCCCUUGCGGAUGGAGCUGAAAUCAGUCGAAGAUACCAGCUGGCUGCAACUGUUUAUUAAAAACACAGCACUGUGCAAACACGAAAGUGGACGUAUACGGUGUGACGCCUGCCCGGUGCCGGAAGGUUAAUUGAUGGGGUCAGCGCAAGCGAAGCUCUUGAUCGAAGCCCCGGUAAACGGCGGCCGUAACUAUAACGGUCCUAAGGUAGCGAAAUUCCUUGUCGGGUAAGUUCCGACCUGCACGAAUGGCGUAAUGAUGGCCAGGCUGUCUCCACCCGAGACUCAGUGAAAUUGAACUCGCUGUGAAGAUGCAGUGUACCCGCGGCAAGACGGAAAGACCCCGUGAACCUUUACUAUAGCUUGACACUGAACAUUGAGCCUUGAUGUGUAGGAUAGGUGGGAGGCUUAGAAGUGUGGACGCCAGUCUGCAUGGAGCCGACCUUGAAAUACCACCCUUUAAUGUUUGAUGUUCUAACGUGGACCCGUAAUCCGGGUUGCGGACAGUGUCUGGUGGGUAGUUUGACUGGGGCGGUCUCCUCCUAAAGAGUAACGGAGGAGCACGAAGGUUGGCUAAUCCUGGUCGGACAUCAGGAGGUUAGUGCAAUGGCAUAAGCCAGCUUGACUGCGAGCGUGACGGCGCGAGCAGGUGCGAAAGCAGGUCAUAGUGAUCCGGUGGUUCUGAAUGGAAGGGCCAUCGCUCAACGGAUAAAAGGUACUCCGGGGAUAACAGGCUGAUACCGCCCAAGAGUUCAUAUCGACGGCGGUGUUUGGCACCUCGAUGUCGGCUCAUCACAUCCUGGGGCUGAAGUAGGUCCCAAGGGUAUGGCUGUUCGCCAUUUAAAGUGGUACGCGAGCUGGGUUUAGAACGUCGUGAGACAGUUCGGUCCCUAUCUGCCGUGGGCGCUGGAGAACUGAGGGGGGCUGCUCCUAGUACGAGAGGACCGGAGUGGACGCAUCACUGGUGUUCGGGUUGUCAUGCCAAUGGCACUGCCCGGUAGCUAAAUGCGGAAGAGAUAAGUGCUGAAAGCAUCUAAGCACGAAACUUGCCCCGAGAUGAGUUCUCCCUGACCCUUUAAGGGUCCUGAAGGAACGUUGAAGACGACGACGUUGAUAGGCCGGGUGUGUAAGCGCAGCGAUGCGUUGAGCUAACCGGUACUAAUGAACCGUGAGGCUUAACCUU